AUGUUAUGGAUAUGCAGUUCGUUUGACACGCCUCGGCCACCGUACUUAUAUGCUGCCCGUGAAAAGGUUUUGCAACUUUGAACUCAAAUCAAUCUACUUUUUUAUAAGGAAACAGCGAGUCAACCAUUACACUCUAUUCGGGUUUACAUUUUGUUUUUUGAGAAAAAGAAAUAAUCGAGAUUAUGGACGUGAUAAAGAAGAAACUCAACUCUCUGCAGCAGCAACUUGAUGAUGCGGAAAACCGAGGACGGGCUCUCCAAACGGAGCUGGGCAUUGAACGGGAACGGCGCCUACAAGCCGAGGGUACAGCGGCAUCCUUGAACACCAAGAUCCAGCUGCUGGAGGAGAGACUGGCCAUAGCCCUGCAGAAAGUGGAGGCGGCUGAGAGGGCUGCACUUUAGAGUGAAAGCUACAAGAACAAGCAAGAUGGAAAGACCAGUUCACAUCCCAGUGUGGAUUGAUACUUGGAUAAACGACCCCCAGUCCACCACUGGUCAUGUGCUUUAGUUAAGACUUUAAUUGCACUGCCUUUAAGCCAAAAAUAUACCACUAACAUCAUUCCAUCAUCCUUCAUAACACUAACAUCUUGUUUAGUACCAUUCUGCUUGUUUCACUCUCAGAACGCUAAAGCUACUAUCAAAAAUGCAAAAUUAGGAAUCACGCAAACUCUCAUACAAACCACACAAUAGAUAACUC
Long non-coding RNA from Thunnus maccoyii (southern bluefin tuna), 696 nucleotides. RefSeq lists it as uncharacterized. The record is from RefSeq and is a predicted model, not a curated record. The transcript is spliced from 3 exons. Lineage: Eukaryota; Metazoa; Chordata; Actinopteri; Scombriformes; Scombridae.